AAUGAAGAGGUUGCAUCCCUUAUUAUUAGUCACUGUGAGGCGGAUAAGCGCUGGACCAGUGGUGAAAGGAAGGAAUGCCGAAACGGCCGGUUGCUUAUCACACCGGUCGUUGGGUCAUGACUUAAGAGGUCAUGGACUGUCGCUGUAUUGCGGGGCGCUUCCU
Molecule: non-coding RNA, 163 nt
Filed under: uncultured Limosilactobacillus sp.
Lineage: Bacteria; Bacillati; Bacillota; Bacilli; Lactobacillales; Lactobacillaceae
Description: Lysine riboswitch
Rfam family: Lysine riboswitch aptamer
About the family: Riboswitches are metabolite binding domains within certain messenger RNAs that serve as precision sensors for their corresponding targets. Allosteric rearrangement of mRNA structure is mediated by ligand binding, and this results in modulation of gene expression. This family includes riboswitches that sense lysine in a number of genes involved in lysine metabolism, including lysC.
Source: RNAcentral